RNAcentral lists this transfer RNA (89 nucleotides) under Luteimonas sp. MC1750. RNAcentral describes it as "tRNA-Leu". It matches the Rfam family "tRNA". From Rfam's summary of the family: Transfer RNA (tRNA) molecules are approximately 80 nucleotides in length. Their secondary structure includes four short double-helical elements and three loops (D, anti-codon, and T loops). RNAcentral also lists the same sequence under 1 other name. Lineage: Bacteria; Pseudomonadati; Pseudomonadota; Gammaproteobacteria; Lysobacterales; Lysobacteraceae. The record is from RNAcentral.
GCCCGGAUGGCGGAAUCGGUAGACGCAGGGGACUUAAAAUCCCCCGGCCUCGCGGCCAAGUGUGGGUUCGAGUCCCACUCCGGGCACCA